This 253-nucleotide ribosomal RNA is filed under the name uncultured bacterium. RNAcentral describes it as "partial 16S ribosomal RNA". It matches the Rfam family "Bacterial small subunit ribosomal RNA", at positions 524 to 776 of the family's 1533-position model. The record is from RNAcentral.
UACAGAGGUGGCAAGCGUUGUUCGGAAUUACUGGGCGUAAAGGGCGCGUAGGCGGCCUUCUAAGUCAGACGUGAAAUCCCCCGGCUUAACCUGGGAACUGCGUCUGAUACUGGGAGGCUAGAGUAUGGGAGAGGGAUGUAGAAUUCCAGGUGUAGCGGUGAAAUGCGUAGAUAUCUGGAGGAAUACCGGUGGCGAAGGCGGCAUCCUGGACCGACAUUGACGCUGAGGAGCGAAAGCCAGGGGAGCAAACGGG